AUUCGACCUCAAAUCAGGUAGGACUACCCCGCUGAACUUUAAGCAUAUCAAUAAGCGGAGGAA
Molecule: ribosomal RNA, 63 nt
Filed under: Lodderomyces parapsilosis
Lineage: Eukaryota; Fungi; Ascomycota; Pichiomycetes; Serinales; Debaryomycetaceae
Description: Candida parapsilosis partial 28S ribosomal RNA
Source: RNAcentral